This is a small nucleolar RNA of Lutra lutra (Eurasian river otter), 102 nucleotides long. RefSeq annotates it as small nucleolar RNA U13. The transcript has a single exon. The record is from RefSeq and is a predicted model, not a curated record. NCBI's taxonomy places the organism in Eukaryota, Metazoa, Chordata, Mammalia, Carnivora, Mustelidae.
AUCCUUUUGUAGUUCAUAAGCGCGAUGACUGGGUGUUCACGGUCUUGCGUGACGUGCCUCCCUCAAAUCUUGUUACGACCUUGGCACAUUACCCAUCUGAUG